UCUACUGAAUUCUCUUCGGAGAUAGUAAGGUGGCGGACGGGUGAGUAACACGUAAAGACUUGCCCUGCAGUCUGGGACAACUAUUGGAAACGAUAGCUAAUACCGGAUAUUGCCGCAUGGCGAAAGCUAUAUGCGCUGUAGGAGAGCUUUGCGUCCCAUUAGUUAGUUGGUGAGGUAACGGCUCACCAAGACCGCGAUGGGUAGCCGGCCUGAGAGGGUGAACGGCCACAAGGGGACUGAGACACGGCCCUUACUCCUACGGGAGGCAGCAGUGAGGAAUAUUGGACA
Molecule: ribosomal RNA, 288 nt
Filed under: uncultured bacterium
Lineage: Bacteria
Description: partial 16S ribosomal RNA
Rfam family: Bacterial small subunit ribosomal RNA
Source: RNAcentral